Long non-coding RNA from Amphiprion ocellaris (clown anemonefish), 629 nucleotides. RefSeq lists it as uncharacterized. The record is from RefSeq and is a predicted model, not a curated record. NCBI's taxonomy places the organism in Eukaryota, Metazoa, Chordata, Actinopteri, Pomacentridae. The transcript is spliced from 2 exons.
UUUGGCACUCCUCAGUCCACCAAGUAAAAACAAUGACAAUAGACUCUGCUUUCACUUGGUGGACUGAGCUGUCAAUCAAAUGGCUCUGGGCGGGGCUUUCUGUCCAGGGUGGGUAGUCGUACCUGAUCACAGGAUUCCUGCCUGACGGCAGCUCCAAGCACGGCUGAAGUCAAGUGAUGGCACCGUGGCGCUUCGGCUGAUUCUACCAGCAGACACUGAAAGAGCUCUGAUAGUUUGGUGUCUCAUGUUCACUGUGAGGAUCUUCUGAGUGAAGCCAACAGAAGGAAAACCUCAUCUGCUUGUGAAGAAGGAGACUGAAUGGACGACAUCCUCAGUGAACCACUUCCUGUUUAACUUUCAGUUACAGAAGGACAGACCAACUCUCAGCAGUUUAUUAUUCUCUGUUCUUAGUAUUCACAGGUUCUAUUUAUCACCUUUAACUGCAUCUCUGCUGUUGGAGCAGAAAUACAAUAUAAAAAGUUAUAGCAAAUAUGCAGCAUUAAAACAUCAACACAUUCAGGGCAGGAGCUUCAUUAUUACCUUUAUUGCACAUUUAAAAACUACAUUAUUUAACAAUUGUGAACUGUAAAGAUGUGUAAACACAUGAAAUAAAUGGAUGAAAUAAACAA